RNAcentral lists this long non-coding RNA (16456 nucleotides) under Medicago truncatula (barrel medic). Its description in RNAcentral is "long non-coding RNA (MTRU_LNC002773)". The record is from RNAcentral. Lineage: Eukaryota; Viridiplantae; Streptophyta; Magnoliopsida; Fabales; Fabaceae.
ACGUUUACGGCUCCCCACCACGUAACCAAACGAGUGCUUAGCUUUUUCAAAUCGAUUCUCUACUGUGGAAAUACACUAGCAUCUAUUUGUCUCUUUUGCCCUUGAAUCUCAACACUUCCUUUCACAUACCUUUUCAAAUCUGACAAAGCCCUUCACGGUGUCUGCAUGCUUUGUCAUGUUGUUGUAAAAAAAUAUGUUUGUACUGUUGCUGUGGUUUUUUCUUCUUCUGUGUGUUGCAAAUAAAUCUCAAGGUUGAAGAUGACACGUUUUUUGAGAAGAAAUGGUCUUUUGUCUUCUUGCUCUUUAAAAGCCCAUCAGUAUCAGGUAUCCAUUUAUUUUAUAGAAAAAAAAAUUCAUAUAUAACUACGAAUUUUACUAGUUACCAAUUACAUUUUUAAUUCCCUAAAAAAAAUACAUUUUUAAUAAUUUUAUAAAAUGCAACAUAAAAAUAACUAAAAAUGGAAAUGAAAGUUGUAGACAAAAAUAAACGAAAUAUAGUGUUGAAUGCACACAUAUAUGAAAAUCCAUUUUGGUCAUUUACACACCCAAAAGUAAUUUUGACACCAAAUAUCCAAACAAAAUCUUUCAUACAAAUAACUUCAAUUGUGAAGGUAACCAAACAUAAACCACUUUACAUUAAACUCACUUUUAACUAUAAUCAAUUUUGUAAAAUCAGUUCAAACAAAAUCAAUUUUCUCCACAGCAAAAUCAAACACACACUAUAUGAAUUAAUAGCAAGGUAAUAAGAAAAGGAAUAAACAAAAUAUAAAAAAAAACUACAACAUGAGAAAUGGUACUCCGUGUGUACUGACGUGAGUGGUUUAUGGUUAUAUUUCUUUUACUAGAAGUGGGUAGUUACGUUUUUUUUAAAGAAAAUGUGGGUAGUUACAUAUAAACGUGGGUAAUUUUUUCUAUUAAAAAUUAAAUAAAAUAAAAUUAAUAAGGGUAAAAUUGAAAUAAAAUAUAAAAAGCUAUAAUCUUUAAGCUCAAAAGCUACUUGAAUUAACUUCUCAUAAAAAGCUAUAAGCUGGUGAGAAAAACUUAUUAUCAAACACGUCAUAUUUUGAUCCAACAAACUUAUAAACUAAUUCAACAAAUUAUAAACUAGCUUCUCGAGGUUACCAAACAUAACCUAACUGUGUCAAUAUUAAUAAGUUAUUUUCAAACACACUCUAAUGAUGUAGAUAAGAGUUGUUGCAUUAAAGUAGCUAAAUAUUUGACAAAAGUGCAUUCAUUUUAAGGAUCGUUGUUACUUGGUGGAUAAAGCAAAAAAUAUGACAAUUCAUUCAACAAUUUAAAAUAUUUGGACUACUUAGCAUCAUAUUAAUAACGAUGUGUCCUAAUCCAAUUAUCAUGGGUCCUAACCCUAUUAUCAUAGAUUAUAAAAAGCAUUAGUAACGACGAAUAUUUUGAUGAAGUAAGAUACAAAACCAAAAGGCAAGAAAAAAAUAAAUUAAAGAAGAACGUGGCGAAAGAAGUCAACAUCAAUGUUGACUUCAAACUAGGAGUAAUUGCCUGUUUGACAUCUUUAUUUUUGAAUAACGUUUCCAGCUAGACAAAUAAUCGAGUUUUCAUUUUUUUAAAAUUUUUCAAAAUUAAUAAUUCAACAAAUUAUUGAAAGAAACUUUAAAUAAACGACAAUAAGUUUACAUCAAAUAUUUAUGACGACCAUCUCUCAACUUUGAGAUUUUCUUUUAUCAUGAUUCAUGAUGAGUAUCUAAAACUCAACUAUAAGAGUUUUUGCAGGAGCUCUAAUUAUAUAUUUUGUUAACAUACAUAAAUUUCUUUAUAAAUAUUUAGGUAAUAUGUCUGUAUAAAUUAUUUUAUAUAUUAUAUAUUUUUUAAUUGCUUAACUAUGUGAACGUAUUAGUAUUCACUAACUAGUCAAAAAAUGUAUCUUCACAUCUUAUCAAUCACAACAUAUGAAGUCAAUGGACCAGUCAAAAUCUCUUAUGUCGACUACUUAUAAUUUGGACAAGCUAACAUAACAAACAAAAAAGCAAAAUGCGAGUUUUGUUUUUCAAUUAUAUUGGAUGGAUAACUGCAAAUUUAAUGGGAAGGUUCAUAUUUUGGUUUGAUGCACACAAUCUCUUGGAUUUGAAUUGACAUAUUUAAGUUAAUCACACUUGCAAGGAGAACAACUAUAGUGCAGAUUGACUUAUCAAUUUUAAUUUUACUUUUGAUUCUUUAAAUUGUACUAUUGUGGAGACUCGUGCAAGUGUGUUUCAUAAGCAUUUGCCUCAAUAAAUUACUUGUAAUACUUAUGAUAUCUAUAAAUAUAGUUGGUUUUUAUUUUCAUUUUAGAAUAAUUUUUUUAAGGGUCUUGCUAGAGUAAAAUGACUGGUGAUGAAUUUGUUUGUACACCUUAAAUUUUUUCUACAUUCAUUUACAUUUUAUUUUCUCUCUUAUUGUCGCAUCAUAAACUAUACUUAUCACUUUACUCUAUUAUUUCUAUGUCUGUCAAGGUGUAUAAGAAAUGUAUGAAUAUUUCUCUCAAAAAAAAAAGUAUGAAUAUUGGCUCUUUCGCAACAAAAAUUGUAAAACGGAAAAGAAAGGACAAUCGAAAGAAAGUAGUAGUUAACAAAAGAAUACAUAUAAUAAGGGUUUUGUUAACCAGUGUUCUAUGAACACUCGUCAAAAAAUCUUUACAUAAAAUUUUUUAUUAAAAACUUAUCUAUUUUGAUUGCUUAAUAAUAUUGCGCACUAAUUAAUAUUUUUCAUAUAUGAUAAUGUAUCAAACCAUGAAGCUAAUCAUUGAAAGUGUUAUAGUAUCAUUUUAUCAAAAAUAAAAAAGUGUUGUAUCAUUAAUAAUAAUCCACAACAAAUUGUAAUUUAUAUAAAAGAAACAUCAAUUAUAAACAAGUCUAAUACUAUACACACAAUGGAAAAAAGUUGUCUAAAGCAAUAGAUUAAGAGAUGAUCCUCAAUUUGCAAGCCGUGUCUCCUACCUACUCAAGUCACUUUCAUAAUAUUAAUAUUAGUGGAGGAUAGCUAUUUGGGUCAAUGUUACCAAUUAUUUGUCUCUAAAUAUGCAAAAUAAUACUUUGUUUCCCUUGCUGAAAUUCCAUAUGCUUUGCUUUACUCAAGUUUACGUCAAUAUAAUUUGCAUUUUUCUCUCUUUAUAAUUGUGUGUUUGGUAAUUGGUGUCCACAUAAAGGAAAAGCAAAUACUAACUUUAUUCUUUGUGAUUAUUAAUUAAUUAAUAAGGUCAACAGAGUAGCAUAAGCACAAGAUUGGCUGCUUAGGCUAAACAAGUGAAAAACUAAUGACUCAUCCAUACCAUUGUCUAUCUUACCUAAUGGAUGGUACACCAAUCCUAUGUAUUGUCUGGUUCUGUCCAAAUUAUCGAGAGGCAAUCAUAAGGAGCUGAAAGUAUAUGAUUUUUUUAAUUUAUUUUUAAAGAGUAACAACAUGAACUUUAAAAUUAUAAUAUCUCCAUGCGGAGUAGGCAAAGGCUAGAACAUACAUAGAAAUAAUUGUGGCCAUGUAGGUGAGUACGUGGACAAUUUGGAGGUUACAAAGCACGGAUAUUCAUCGGAUUAGGCGUGUCUUGGUGUCGGACACGACAGACACGUGUCGUGUUCAACACUGACACGAUACUAACACAUAUAAUUAUACUUAGUUAUGUGAUUUUCUCAAAUUAUUAGUGUGUCGACUUGUUAGUGUUCGUGUCGUGUCCGGUAUCCAUGUUUGUGUCCGUUUCCGUGCUUCAUAGUUUGAAGGUUAUGAAGAAUUGAUUAUUAUGUAAGUAAAGAGCCAUCCACGAUUACUCUAAAAUAAUUUUAUAUAUUUGAUAUCCAAUGAGAGUCUUUCUAUUUAUUCAUAUCAUCUCACUAUUUUUUAAAACCAAUUGACCCAAUGCUUCAAUACCUCUAUUAAAAACUACAAAUUGUAGAGUCUAAUUGACAUACGUUUUGACCUAUGUCCGACGAUAAAUAUUUGGACCAUACGAGUCGACGUAAUUUCAUAGGAGGAUUAAGUAAACAUAAUAGGGAGGCGACCACCCUCGCCCUUUCUAACUAUAAAGUUAGAACAUGGAAAAGGAUCAAGAAUAGCUAAUGAUAUCUAUGUAGCCGUUCGUAUAUAUGUCACUUGAUCACAUCAUAUAUACUCCUAACCAUAGUUUUCAGAAUCGGCUCGGUCAUCGACUCGGCGGGGGUACUGGGUCAAUGGGUCAAUGGUCGAAGCAGUGAGUCAUUGGUCGAACCGCAUGACUGAACCGGAACCACUCGGAUGACUCGGUUAGAUAACUCGGUCCUUAGAUUAAAUUUAUAUAGUUAUAUAACCGGAUUAACUCGGAUUUAAUCGGUGACUCGGUCACUUUAGAAACUAAAAUAAUGACCCCUAUAAAAUAAGAAAAAAACUAUCCAACAAUAAUAAUUUCAUAGCUAAUUGCUCAAAUUCAAAACAUAGUCAUAACUCAAAAUACAUCUUGGUAGUAAAAAUCCAAAUAGAUCCCAAAAAAGUAUGAUUCCAACAUAAAUUAAAAAAAGAGAUUGCCCCUGUUAUAAAAAUUCAAAAAGAUCCCAAGAAAAUAUAAUUCCAACACAAGUAUUAUCAUCAAUAACAUCUUAAUUCCAAGGAGUCAAUAUUGAUUGAAUUUGAAGCUCAUCAAGGAAUUCAACAUCUUCUCCAGCAGCUUCAUCAAAAACAUUACUUUGAUCCAUGUUUUCUGCAUUAGUGUCAGGUGCAUCAUUGCCAUAAUCAUCAUCCUCAUCCUCAUCCAAAUUCAAUCCAUCUAUGAAAACAUCAAUUUAAAUAAAUAUUAACAAUUGGUAUAUAACCAUAUAGUGAAAUUAUGAAAUUUUAACCUUAUAAGAAAACACAUACAUACCAAUAUCAUUUGAAAUAGGUUGGAUGGUCAUAUUGGCAAGAUCAUUGCGUAAUGAUUCCAACUCCUCAACUGUUAAAAAUGGCGGUGAAUCCUCCAACACCCAAUUAUCAUGAUGAUCAUGAAGUAAUUCAUCAUUGAUGGGGUCAUAGUUUCGAAUUUUGUUGUUCCUAUAAUUCAUUAUAAAAAUAUAAAGAUUUCUAUCUAAAUGUAAAAAUAAAAAAUGAUGAACAUAUAAGGUUUAUUGUGAACAAUCUCAUUAUGCAAAGAAACAAACACUAUUUUAUCAAUGGAUUAAUAUAACUAAAAUAUAGUAGAAAUACAUACCUAUUUUCUAGCAUUAAGUUGUAACGAACAAAGACUAGAUCGUUAAGCCUUUGAUGCUCCAACCUAUUUCUUUUUUUUGAGUGAAUAUGCUCAAACACACUCCAGUUUCUCUCGCAACCAGAAGAGCUACAAGUUUGACUUAGAACCCGAAUUGCCAAUUUUUGCAAAUGUGGUGCUUGACACCCGUAAAGUUCCCACCAUUCAUCUAUAAAAUUGCAAAAUUUCAUCAAUUAAUACAGUAUUACCGUAAGUUUAUAUGAUACAAUGAAAGGUAAGAUAUUUGUAAAUGGAUCAUCGUAAGUGUAUAUGAUACAAUGAAAUGUAAGAUACCUGGAAAUGGUGAAUUUCGAGCUUCUACAGCAGAUUUCCUUCCAAAGUCGCCCUCGGAAUUUCUAAAUAUACUUGUCUCAGUAUUUAACUUUGCUCGCAACUCAUGAUUAUUACGAGCAUACUUUUCAAUGACAUCUAUAAGACCAGAUGUGGUGGACUUGUGUUUCUCAAACUCAGGACUGAAUCUACAAGAUGGAUUUAACCAAUAACCAGCAGCAUGAAGAUUUUUUCGAAGUUGUGAAUCCCAUCGAUCAUCUAUGAUCUUCAAGUAAGGCUCCACUUUUGUCUUAUUUCUUUGAAACCUCUUCACCAUCUCCUCUCUAGCCUUAUACAUAUUUCUGUAAAGAAAACCCAUAGCAGGUUUAUCUUCACUGUCCACGAGACGCAACACACAUACAAGUGGUUAUGUGAGUUUCACUAUGUCAGCACAAGCAGUCCAAAAGUUAGUGUUCAAGACUUGUUCCACAAAUUGUUUGGCCUUGGCUUCUUUUGCAUAAGCAGAAGUUGUCCAUUCUUGAGAUGUUACCAUGGCUCUAAGUGCAUUUUUCUGAGACAAAAUACUCUGCAAAGCAAUGAAAUUAGUGGCAAAGCGAGUUGGAGCAGGACGAAGUAUCUCUCUUCCAUGAGUAAAUUUCCUCAUCAAAUACAAUGGAUAGCAAUGAUUAUAUAUAUACUUGGUAACAUUUGUGGCAUGUGAAACUGCCUCUUUAACUUCAGGUAAUUUUCCAAUGUCUUGAAACAUCAAGUUAAUGCAAUGAGCUGCACAAGGAGACCAAUACAGGCCAGGGAACUCUUUUUCCAAUAACCUACCAGCAGCAACAUAGUUUGCAGCAUUAUCUGUCACUAUCUGAACAACAUUUUCAGGGCCAAUAUAUAACACUAUUUCCUUGAAAAGCUUAAACAACAUCUCACCAGUUUUUGAAGCACCUGAAGCAUCAACAGAUUUGAUAAAAACUGUUCCUUUAGGGCAAUAAACUAAAAAGUUUAUCAGAGUUCUCCUAACCCCGUCAGUCCACCCAUCUGCCAUAAGAGUACAACCAGUAUUCUUCCAAAUCUCACGGUAUUUCUCUAUCUUUUUCUUUGUUUCAUCAACCCACUUAUUUAGCAAAGGACCACGCAAAUCAUGUAUAGAAGGAGCUUUAUAUCCGGCUCCCAUGCAACAAAGAGCAUCGACCGCAGACUGAAAAUAUGGUGAAUUUGCUGCAUUGAAGGGAAUAGAUGCAGCAAUGAACCAUUUUGCAAGUGCAAGAUCACACUUUUCUACAACUUCCUUGGUUUGCAAAACACUUUUUAUAGUAGGCUGUGAUCCAGGAGUUGUUCUAGGCAAAAAGUAAUUAUCAAAGCUUCCAUUGUUCGUUCCCUUUUGAGAUGCAACAACCACUGACCUAGGUUGUUCUCUUUGUGUUUGCUCUUCAUUACCUAUUGCAUGUUCAGUUUUUCUUUUCUUGAGCCUUGUCUCUUCACGAUUUUGUUUCAUCUUAAAGCGGACUUCUUCAGGAGCUUGGCUGCAUGCUUCGACUUGUCCAGUUUCUCCAGCCAAGUGUAACUUUAAUCUAUUAAUUCCACCUCCCUUCAUAACUUUGUUACAAUAGAUACAUUGUGGUUUUUCUUUGUCACUGUCUAGGACAAUUUUAGCGUGACCCCAAGCUAUAUCGGUUUUUGCCCUAACAUUCCUUUGAGUUUGAGAUUCUUGAGUCGAAGCUUCUGCUGAUGGUUGUGUUGGUGCUUCAGAAGAGGCCAUAACUAAUCACAAAUACAUAUGAUAUAUCAGAGACAUUUACAUUACAUUUACAUGGAAUUAUGAAACAAUCAGAAUUAAACAUUAACAUGAAAUGAACCAUUUAACAAUCAGUUUAUCAGAAUCAACAACGUACGUGGAAUGAGGAGUAUAAAACAGAGGAGAGGAGAGGAGUCAGUAUAAAACAUGUAGUAAGUAUAAAACAGAGGAGUCAACAUUAAACAUGGAAUGAGGAAUCAACAUAUAAACAAUCAGAGAUUCAGAAUUAAACAUGAAAUUAAACAUUAAACAAUCAGAAUCUACAUGAAAUUAAACAUUAAACAAGAAAUCAAAACAACAAAUCAAAAAGAAGCAAAGAAUAACAAUCUAAAAAAAAAAAGGGUUCUCUGCAACGACGGUGUACGUACGUGAGAUAAGCGGAAGCGGAAGCGGCUAUGGCGAGGGCGACGGCGACCUGGAGUUUUCGCGGCGGCGACGGAGAAUGGCGUGGAGUGGACCGGUUUCGUUUUAGCUUCUCUUCUCUCUGUACGUGAAAACUAAGAACAGAGUAUGAGGUUUCGUUUUAGCUUCUCUGACCCUUCUAAUUCCGUUUUUUUUUUUUUUUUUCAAUUAACAAAUCCAAAACGACGUCGUUUUGGUAAGCAAAAAAAAAAAAAAAAAAAAAUUGAACCGGUCUGACCCACGACUCGGCCGAGUCACCGGUUUUGGCCGGUUUUGACCGGGUUAUCUGCAUGGCCGAUCCAAAUGAUGGCUCGAACCGGCCUACCCACCGGUUCACGGUCCGACCGGUCCGACCGGCCGGUCCGAGCCGAGUCUGAAAACUAUGCUCCUAACGACCAAAUAUCCUUCUUACAUUGAAAAGGUAUGUGUAUGUCCUCUCGUACCUUAUCAUAUCAUUGUCACCAUUUAAGGUUAGUGGUGUAAUAAUGUCUCCCAAACACACACUACAUCUUAAAAUUUAUGAUAUAAAGUAGUAAAAUAGUAUUUAUUGAAUCUCAUUAAAGUUCACUUUAGCAAUAGCUUACACAAGAUAGUACACACCUCUUAAACUAGCAUGCUCAUCCUACAAAGCCUAAUUCAUCUAGUCAUUUGGAAAUAUUUACUUUAAAUACUGUCCUGAACGCCAGUUGUUUUAAUUUUUAACCACAAAAUCUCACAUUGUGGAUUAUCUUUAGUUUUGAUUAUUAUUCUCAACCACAUAAUUGAAGAACUCUACCAUUUUUGCUAAAAAUGUUUCAACAGUUUCUGUUUUACAGCUGUUAGCAUGUCCAAUUGCCCAUUAUUUUGGAAUUCAUGAUUAUCGAUACUUCCUUUCUUGUGAAUCCAAAACUGUCAUACUCGUUCUACUGGCACUUUUGAGGUUACGGAGUGCUUGCAAGAUUUUUGUACACAAAGGUUUGUCUCGUUGGCAUACUGCAAAAUAUCUUUGUAAAUGUUCUGGCAAAGCAUUUAAGAUUGUUCUGCUAAUAUUACCCACGAAGAUCUUUCACUGCUAGUGAAGUAACUUCCAAUUUUGUAGAGUAUAUCCAUAAAAAUAUAGUCGUAGGUUUGGCUCCAUAAUUUAAUUUAAAAUAAUCACGAGCAGUUUCAAUAGUUUUACACAUCAAUCUGCUCAUUUUUCUUGUUUAUUCACAUUGAAAGAUGUUGACAUGUAGAAAAUUCACAUUGAAAGAUGUUGACAUGUAAAAAAUGAUAGCCUGGAUAUAGAAAACUACAUGUAGGUUCAACAGUUUUGCACCAAUCGGUUCAUUUUCCUUGUUUAUUCAAUUUGAAAAAUGUUAAUUAACAUAUAAAUGUGUAACCCAUUUUUACACAUUUUGGUCUCUAAAUGUGUGACAUCACGUGUCCAUGUCAAUACUUGGCAUUAGAAAACAAUUUUCUGUUUUAACUUUUUAAAUUAUAAAACUCUUACAUUGUUUCUACUCUGUUUUAUGUUUUAAUAUUUAAAUAAUUUCUACUUAAAACAAAACUAUUAUCAUUUUUUUUAGAGGAACAAUACUAUCUAUUAUCAUUUUUUCCUGUACAAACUUUGAAAAUAUUAUCACGGUUUCCUGAAAAUUAAAAGUAAAAGCGGGAUGAAAAUGUAAAUGUUUUCUCAAACCAAACACUUGGUUUAUCCAAUGGAUGUGUCUCAGUUGUUUAAGGAGUGAGUGAUUUGCUUGUAGAAUAAUGUUGCAUUUCUCUAUCUGCGGCUUGGUGCUUAGAAUACGUGAAGAGUUUUAAAUUACAAUCCAAACACUCGAGGGAAAUCGGUCUCAUAAGUCAUAACUCAUCUAAAGGAUUGAAACUUGAGGAAAUACUAUGUAGAGUUACUAAGAUGUCAAAUAGAUAAUUUCAAAUCUCAAGUUUAAUUGUCUCCAUUGCUAAUUUUGGUGGGUUAGUUCAUGCACAUCAAUCUGACUUUAAAUGAGGCUCCCGCAAGUAAACAACGAGAUUCAACCCUUUGGAUUAGUCGAUCAUUUGAUCGGAUAUAAAAAAAAAUUAAAAAAAUUGAAUACACUAAUUAUGUUGUUUACGUUGUACAUAACAUCCUGAUUUCUUGUAUUCAAUAUGUGAACAAGAUAUUAGAUACCUUCAAAUCAGAGUAAAUAAUCAUUUUUUUUUUUAAUGGUUUUGCUAAUGAGUGGCUUAAACACUCUUUAAACAUUUUAAAAUAAUCAAUUAUUCUUUAAAAAAGUCAAAUAUUUCGAUUUUCAAUGCAUUGAAUAUACAUUUUUUUUCAUAAAUACUUACAAUUUAUGGAUCUUUAAGAGUGUCCAGGAGAUACUCGUUAGAAUUUCCCUUUCUUAAAUGGUAAUACUUAAUAAGCAUUCUAUCUUUCUAAGACAUCAAUACAACACGUAAAAAAAAAUACUAAAUAGUCUAAUGCCACUAUCCACUUGCAGAAUACCCAUUUAAAGCCAAAGUAAAGUUAUAUAUAGACUAACCCACCUAAAUUGAUACCAUGCAGAAUCAAACUUGAGACCUAAAGAGUAGCACACUCCAAACUCUCAAACCAGCAAUACUAAAGCCAACCAAGUGGGUUGGAGAAACAAAACCUUUAAUAGCAUGUUUGAAUAACAGCCCUUGCUAGCGUCAAAAGAUAACAUUAUUACCAUCCAAGCAAAAUCAAUUUUUUUAACCUCUAUUUCUCUUGGUUUCAAUUGUUCAAAUCAAUUCUAUCAAAUUUUAGACAAUUCAAGCAAUAAUCUAAAAGGUACAACCCACAAUUAGGACAUAACCCGUCCAUACUGGAACUGCAUGUCACAAUCUCCCCCACUUCUCCUCCACUCCAUUAGAGCCACUAUUCCAAUGGCGUAUGUAAUAGGCUCAUAGAAAGAGACAACUAAAGAGAAAAACAGUUCAUCUAAGUACUUUUUUGAAUUCUGCUCUUUACCAAAACGGUUUUACUCAUUCCCAAAGUAAAUGUUCAUAUUAUCCCUGCGUGAGUUAACAUGUACUCCGUGAGUUAACUCACGCCAGUCAUAAAAAAACAAUUUUUUCACGGGAGUUAAGUCCCGCUAAACCACUUUCAGAAGAAUACUAUGAUAGUGCAUUUUCAUAGUGCAUUUGUCAUACAAAGUAGAAGCUUAGUUUCAUGUAACAAAAAGAAAAAAAACAAAUGAAAAAAGGGUUCCUAGCUAGAUAAGAAAUUCAUAUGUGAUAGCUUGAAUUAAGAAUAUUGGAAUCUAAUGAAAUUUAUAUGUAGAAGUUGUAGAAGAAACUUUAUGAUGAACUUGACUCAUCUAAUUCAUCAGCUAACAACAAAUUAAUAAUGCUUUUCUCCUUGCUCAGAGAAAUCACGUGUGAAGAGUGGUGUGGACAUCCUAGCUUGCGACACGAAUUUGGAAGAAGAAGCAUGCAUAUGUGACAAUACAUGACUGAGAAUAAAAUAGUAAAUUCGGCUGCUUUUUGUUAGAGAUGAUGUCACAUGAAUAUAAAAGUAACUAGAAUUGUAGCGUGAGUUAACUCACGCGAGGUGUAAAUGGCAACGUGAGUUAACUCACGCAAUGUGUGUUAACUCACGUUGGCAUUUGUACUAGCGUGAGUUAACAUGAAUAGGGUUAUUUUGGUCAUUUAUUUUGGAAAUGAGCGAAACCGUUGGGUAAAAGAGCAGAAUUCUACUUUUUUUAGUGUUUAUUGUUACUUUCAGCUUCAUCCCCAUGUCUGUGACAAAAACUAAAACUAAGCAUGUGAUUCUUAAUAACACAUUCCAAACCCAAGUCUCGAAGACAACUCACGUCUAGGUAACCAGAAAAGAAUAAAGUGCAGUUGCUAAGUAUCAGACUAAGAUGUGUCUACUUUUCUCAAGUGUGACGAAUUUCUUUAAGGCCGGAGAAAGUUGUCGAUGCUAGUGAAAAUAAGAAAUGCAUGAUGAUAAUAUAUAGCAGUUAUGUUGAAACUUGCAACUACGUCACAGGGAUUGGUAUUAUAAUAUAUAGCAGUUACUGUUAUUAUAGUUCUCCAUUUGAAAGUCAAGUAAAGUAUCAUAUCAUGCAUGAUGAUCUUAAUAACUUGGAUAACUGUAACUUUUGCUCACCAAAAGAUCAAACUGAGGUGAAUUUUAAUGGGAACUGGUAUAAAUAAGCAUCUUUCUGAAAAUAAGAAAUGCCAAGAAUAACUUUAUACAAAAAUUUCACAAUAAUUUAUACUUUUGAAUGAACUUUGGGCAAAGGCUUUAUCUUUUCCAGAAACUUCUCCGCUUCAAUGAAACCAAGUGGUCCGAAAGACAAGUAUUUUAUACAUCUCCAUCUGCUUAAACUCAUGAAGGGGCAUUUUUAAGUAUUCACACAGCAUACAUGAUAAUCUUAAGCAGGCGUAUAGUAACCAGAAAGAUUAAUACCUGGGUGUAUAUGGUAGCGCCAUACAAUGGAGGUGUAGGUGGUUAACAGAAUUCAGUGGAGGUUGAUGAAAGCCAAAUCUGUAAGAAAUAUGUCAGAUAAAAAAUCACAUGGUCGUGUUUUGUUGAAGAACAGAUAUUAACUUCAGGUCAAAACAACAUCCUGCUUUUAAUGCAGUAGCUCCAGUGAUCAAUUAUUGUUCUUGCUUCUCUAGUCAUGGCAUUAAGUCCUUGCUCAAGAAAAUCAAUUAAGUUUAGUAACCUAGGUUUCACUUGCGUAUUCAAAGAUAAAUCUUAUUUUUUAAAUAUCCUAAUGUGACUGAUGAAUAUAGGCAAGUCAAAUUAGUAUAAAUGGGCAAUCAAUCUCCAAUCUAUCUUUAUAUGGCCCUUAAUUUUUCAACACUCCUUUUCUCCAUAGUUACCUUGAUUUUUUUUUUUUUAAACAGCUUAUAUAUAUUAACACACCAAAUUAUACAAGAUGUACAAAGAGGAGGGCAGCAAAACGCCAAAAAUACACAGGGCCCAAAACAGAUCGGUUACCCCAUAACAGCCACCAAACCAGAAAAAAACAGCAGCCUAAAAAACACAGUAGCAGCAAAACACUGCUGAACCGCCCCACAAGCCACACCAAAAGUCCCAAACACCUCUAAAACUACCCCAGCUAUAUCAGUAAACAUUCCUUGGGGUUCAAACAGCACUCGUAAUAGAGGCAGGGAGAACUCUUUAAUCUUGAUCGCACCCAAUUCCAAGAGAGCACCUUAAUCUCAUCAACAGUUUCUCCCGGAUCUUUCACAAGAUCGUUAAAAAUCCUAUCGUCCAUAGGACAGCAUGCCAAACCAUCCAAUAGCCUUUGCAAAGCCUUUUCUUCCCAAUCUCCCCACUCCAACAUUCAAAAUGUUGAAACAAAGAUUGAGGUGUAAUAAAAUUAAUCUCUAACCACCCACACACCAUUGCCCAAACCUUGAAGAUCAUAUUGCAAUGAAGGAAAAGAUGCCCUGCUGUUUCUCCCACUUGGUCACAAAACACACACCUAACCGAGGCCUCCGGGGGUAAAAUUCUCCGCCUUAAGAGGUUAUCUUUGGUAGGGAUCCGAUCGAGAAGUAAUUGCCAAUAGAAAGCCACCACUUUGGAGGGUACCAGACUCUUCCACACCGACCCAAACACCAUUUCUUUAGUUUCCAACAAAAACUCAUGAGGCGACACCAAUCCCACUAGAAACUCAUAGGACGAGCUUACCGUAAAUUUCCCUUCAUCCUCCAACUUCCACCACCACGAGUCAACCGACACCGUUUUCACCCACCCCUCUACCUCCCCAAGGAGACUUUGAAAAAGACCCUCUUCCCACACAAAAAGGUUCCUCCGCGAAAGAAGAUUCCAAGAUCCUCCUUCAACGCCGUCCAUCCAAACCUCCCUCACCGUAGCAUCUUUUUGGCUAGAGAUCAAGAAAAGUCUCGGGUAUGUUAAACACAGAGCCUCAUUACCUACCCAAUGAUCUAGCCAGAACCGAGUGUUCUCCCCAUUCCCUACCUUCCUCACUACCUCCGUAUUGAACCAAUUCACCCCACCGCCCCUUCCAAGGACACAACAUCCAACCACCACCUUGAAGCAUAUGAUGGCCAAGAGUUUUCGCCCGGAUUCAAAAGAUAGUUAAUUCGAUUCCCAUACUUACAACAAAGGACCUCCUUCCACAAAGCUUGAUCCGGUUGAAUCAACCUCCACCUCCAUUUAUCUAAAAGACUAAAAUUCACCAUCCUUAUGUCUCUAACUCCCAAACCCCCCUAAGAUCGAGGUAGGCAUACCGUCGACCACUUUACCCAACAAACCUUCUUACCCCCCAUCACACCUCCCCAAAGAAAUUCUCUUUCAAUUCUCACCACCGUCUUCCACACCUUUACCGGUAACUUGAAAAAAGAAAGGUAAAAAAUUGGGAUUGCAUUCAACACCGCAUUUAAAAGUACCACACGCCCUCCAAGACUUACAUACUUAUUGCCCCAAGAAUUUAAUCUCUGCCUGCCUUAAACAAUCCAACAAGGGCUUCCAAGUAGACAACCUCCUCGGAUUUGCUCCCACCGGUAAACCCAAGUAUUUGAACUGAAGAGAGCCUUAACUUAAUGUUCAACAAACAUCAAGAAAUAAAGCCUCAAAUGUUUAUGCAUCGGCAAAAGGUUGAUAAAAAGAUAUCUACAUCUUCCAAUAUUUCAUGCACAUAGACAAUCCCAAUUCACAUAUAACACUCUAUUGCAGCAUACAAAUGAGCUUCCCAAUUAGUAAAGUGUUCUGCUUCAUAGAAAGCUACUGAUUAUAGCCCGAGUUAAACAACUUUAACACAACAAAACAACAUGGGAGCAUAUGGCUUUGCUAGUGGAAAUCAGAAUGUGACCAAGUUAUAUUUAGUGGUCAUAGGACAUGAGCAUGAAACCAAUGAUGCAAGUUAUAGUUGGUGGCAGCAAUUUUGCGGUUGAAUUCAGCAUUCAGGAUCAGCGUAAUACUCCUUCCAUUCUUUUUUUAGUUGUCGUUUAUUGGGAAAAACCCAUGUCCCACAUCGGAUAGAUAAGACUCUUGAGAAGAGUUUAUAAAGAGGAGGCAAUCUUCACCUUACAAGCCGGUUUUGUAAGGAUGAGUUAGGCCCCAAAUUUCAACAUGGUAUCAGAGUGCUCGGCUACCUACCGAUUCACGCACCAAGCCCAAAGAGUGAUGGGCGUGACGAGGUGUAUUGGGAAAAACCCAUGUCCCACAUCGGAUAGAUAAGGAUGAGUUAGGCCCCAAAUUUCAACAUCGUUUUAAGGUUAUUUACACAUACCAAGAGAAAAACCAAUAAAUUUUACAGUAUUACUUUUGAUGGAAUUAUUUGUCUUUUUUCUAUAAUACUCUUAACUAUUUAUUAUAUCAUUCUACCUAUUUCUCUAUCUCCAAUAAAUAGUUAAGGGUAGUAUUAAAAAAACAUUUGUUAAUGUUGUAUCGAACUCUGAAAACAACAAGUAAAUAAAAAUCAUUUAUGUACAAAAACGACGGUUAAAAAGGAACAAAUAGAGUAAUAAAGCAAUUGCAGUUGUAUAUAACUCAAAUACCUGUAUUGCUUUGAGUGAGGUGCAUCUCUGACUAAUAACAUUUUCCCCACAUCUAACAUAUGACUCACUGUAUAAAGAAGGCAAACAUGAAAUUGAACUGAUCAGAUUUGAAAAUCUACACAAAAAUUAAUUGUGAAGUGGUUACAGAUACAAGCUUAUUAUUUACCCAAAGAAUAAUCUUCAGUUCUUCUCUGAAGAUCUUUAACAGUAGGAAUGUGCUCCACAGGAACCACUAAGUAAUGCCUAAAAUUUGCCAAGUUCAAAUUGAUCACCUCAAUAAGUUGAUUUUGAAUAGACAAAUUAUUUUGCAGCUUAUGGCAUAAGCGUUUAUGAAUAAGUCAUUUCUAUAACACUUUCAAUUAUGAAAUUGAUACAGAAUCAUAUCGGAAUCGAAGGUUAAGGUAUGAUUAAGAAUUGGAAAUACCUGAAAGCAGAUGGAUUAAUAUCCCGAAAAGCAACAACCUUAUCAUCCUGUAAUUUGAGAUUUGGAAAGUUAGAAAGAAAAGAGGAAACAGAAACAACAAAAUUGAAAGAUAAACACACGAAGACUAACAGAGUGGAGAAUGGUAUUGGAGUUGGAUUUGGUGGCUAUGUUACAGAAAACACACGACCCUGUCGCUGCAAUCAUUCCCGCCAUUGCCCAUAAACAUACAAUACCUCUUCUUUUACUACCUUUGCUUUGUAAUUACUCCCCAUAUUACUGUUAUAUUAUAACCAAAAUUUUACUUUUACUUUUACCGUUGAAUGAAUGUAUAUAAUCUAUAUUAUAAAUCCGAUAUAUUUUUUAUGCAAUGAAUUUAAAAUGGGAAAUUUUAUUUAUAAUAAUGAUGGAAGAGUAAAUAAUUUUACUUGUUUUAUAUAAUUAAUGUCUCGUAGACAUCAGUUUAGGAAUCAAAAAUAAAUAUUGAAAAUAGCUUCUUCUUUUCGUAAAAAAAACAUUUUUUUUACACUUUUAAAAGUUUUUUUUUUUGGGUCCAGUAGCCUAGUGGAUAUGGCUAACUGAGCUAAGCUCACGGGGACUACACUUUUAAAAGUUUAACUAUACAAAUUUUAAACUAUUUUUACUAUAUAUUUUUUUAUGAUGGUCGGAGUUAGAACUCCGGACCUUGCAUAUAUCAUGUAUUGUUCAUAUCAACUGAACUAAACUCACGAUGACUAUUUUUACUAUAUUUUUUAUCUUAACUUCGACUCUAGAGACAUUUGUUAGCAUUUUUUUUAAAACAAAUCAAUUUUUUAGAAUUUGUUCUGAAAAAAUUAUGCGAGAAGAGAUUAACUCACUUAACAUUAAAUUAAAAUUUGUUAUUAAUUGUUAGCUAUUACGCAGAAUCAAAGCUUGUUGUGAG